RNAcentral lists this ribosomal RNA (451 nucleotides) under uncultured bacterium. RNAcentral describes it as "SSU rRNA". It matches the Rfam family "Bacterial small subunit ribosomal RNA", at positions 26 to 518 of the family's 1533-position model. The record is from RNAcentral.
AGGAUGAACGCUGGCGGCGUGCCUAAUACAUGCAAGUCGAACGAGCUCUUCGGAGCUAGUGGCGGACGGGUGAGUAACACGUUGGUACCUACCCCGAAGUGGGGAAUAACUGCCCGAAAGGGUGGCUAAUACCGCAUAAUACCGCAAGGUUAAAGCGAGUAAUCGCGCUUCGGGAGGGGCCUGCGUCCCAUUAGCUAGUUGGUAGGGUAAUGGCCUACCAAGGCGACGAUGGGUAGCUGGAUCGAGAGGUUGACCAGCCACACUGGGACUGAGAUACGGCCCAGACUCCUACGGGAGGCAGCAGUAAGGAAUCUUCCACAAUGGACGAAAGUCUGAUGGAGCAACGCCGCGUGCAGGAUGACGGUCUUCGGAUUGUAAACUGCUUUUAUAUGGGAAGAUUAUGACGGUACCAUAUGAAUAAGGACCGGACUAACUACGUGCCAGCAGCCGC